UUUCUAAUUCCACCUGGAGGAGCUUGCUAUCUAACCGAUAAUCCACGUCAAACCUCACCAGCCUUUGAACUAAACAGCUUGUAUACCAUCGUCGUCAGUUUACUUCACAAGAAACGUAAACAAAAAGAACACAGACUUCUUAACGUCAGAUCGAGGUGCAGCUAAUAAGCUGGGGAUAAGUGAGCUACAAUUAUAGUAAUAAAACAAAAACUAUCAAUGAACGGCAGAUUGACACCACCUGCCUAAAAUAGGAUUCAGAAGUAAUGGGCAAACAGAAAGUGCCCACGAACACACCUAAAGCUCUAGAACGCGC
This 313-nucleotide ribosomal RNA is filed under the name Meyenaster gelatinosus. Its description in RNAcentral is "partial 12S ribosomal RNA". Lineage: Eukaryota; Metazoa; Echinodermata; Asteroidea; Forcipulatida; Asteriidae. The record is from RNAcentral.